AGGAAUUGACGGGGGCCCGCACAAGCGGCGGAGCAUGUGGAUUAAUUCGAUGCAACGCGAAGAACCUUACCUGGGUUUGACAUACACCGGAAAACCGUAGAGAUACGGUCCCCCUUGUGGUCGGUGUACAGGUGGUGCAUGGCUGUCGUCAGCUCGUGUCGUGAGAUGUUGGGUUAAGUCCCGCAACGAGCGCAACCCUUGUCUUAUGUUGCCAGCACGUGAUGGUGGGGACUCGUAAGAGACUGCCGGGGUCAACUCGGAGGAAGGUGGGGACGACGUCAAGUCAUCAUGCCCCUUAUGUCCAGGGCUUCACACAUGCUACAAUGGCCAGUACAGAGGGCUGCGAGACCGUGAGGUGGAGCGAAUCCCUUAAAGCUGGUCUCAGUUCGGAUCGGGGUCUGCAACUCGACCCCGUGAAGUCGGAGUCGCUAGUAAUCGCAGAUCAGCAACGCUGCGGUGAAUACGUUCCCGGGCCUUGUACACACCGCCCGU
RNAcentral lists this ribosomal RNA (492 nucleotides) under unidentified microorganism. RNAcentral's name for it is "bacterial SSU rRNA". It matches the Rfam family "Bacterial small subunit ribosomal RNA", at positions 905 to 1397 of the family's 1533-position model. The record is from RNAcentral.